UUCUUGCUGUGGUUGGACUUCUUCACUCGGAACACCUCGGAGCCUUCUGUGAACAGACAGGUGACACGUGAUGCGGCAAAAGUGAGACGAAGGGAACCGAGCACAGCGUGCAGGGACACAUCCAAGCUCACUGUGGAUAGGAGACCACUGCUGCCCCAGCAGAAGGCCUCACACCAGGGCCUUGAUUUAAUCAUUGCCCAGCACAAGGAGGGGCCAAGCAGGCAACAAAGCUGGCCCACCAGCCUCCCUGCCAUCAAUGCUCCCCGUGGGUUGACCCAGGAGAGGCCAACCCUCACCCUCCACCCGGGUUGUUUGAAGAUGAGAGGAACUGGGUGUGAAGGGAGGGAUGUGCAAGAGGAGGAGAGAUCAGCCAGGAGGCAGAAGAGGCAGGACUACCACAGAUUCUGAGCUUCAAAACGCCUCUUGAGAAACCUAUGGGUGAUGUCACGCAUACACUGCCCAUACUUUAUACUGUCGCUGGUCACACUGUGGCAUAUAUCCUUCCUUAACCUGUGUGGAAAUGUUUAUCCCUUUUAAUAUUAUGAGCUUGUUUUUGUGAGGAUCUUCAUCCACACUGAAAUGUUAAAACAAUACAAGAGCAGCUACAUCUCUUCUUCUUUUUCCUUUUACUGUGCCCUGUUACUUUAUGAUCACAUGCACUGUGUUUCAAUAUAGAUCAUGUUAGUGUUUAUAUGAUUGCAACAUUAGAUUAAUGAGAAAUUCAGUUAGCGUGGUUGUGGUCUAAGGUGCAUUCUAAUUCCAGAACUGCAAUCUCUCCUCUACUCUACUGGAUCUUGAUCCAAUUUGGAUACAUUUGCACUGAAGCUAUUGAGGUCUAAACAAGCCCUAAGAAAGAGAGGGAGAGCGAAGGUGGAGCAUGGCAGGAGGACAUGAUGAGGCGGAGGAGAGGAGAGCGGGAUAGCAGGGGAUCAAUCAAUCAUCGCUCCUGUUGGUUUAUAUUGACUCUGCAGUCCCACUGGGCUUCCACGGUCAAUGUGCUUUCAGGCAUUUUGCGUGGGUCGAUGAAGGAGCGUGCCUGGCUUAACACUCACCUUUUAUAGGGAUAUGUGCGUGUCUGUUUGUAUAUUGGUUGUUUUUAUUCAAGCGUUUUCACAAAUGUAUGCAUGUAAAGAGAGAGUGUUUAUAACACAUAAAACCACUGGGCAUCAGGGCUUUGCCAUGUGCUGAAGACUGAGCUCUUUUACAAUGAGUUGACCGUCCUACCAAACUGCAGUGUGCCCAGUGGCAGCCUCCCAAAAUCUAACAGCGUCAGUGUUGGCUUUGGCCCAUCGACCGCGUUUGACAUUCAUUCUGUCAUAUAAACGGAUGAUAAAAAAACUCUCUACACCACACGAUACAAAUAUCCGUGUAACCAAUUAGCCUACAUUGAUGUCAGUCUACGGCGGUGAUGUCAGUUUGAGUUACAAUAGUUGUAAUGAUUCAUAUAAAGUUGUUCCAAGCAGCUUGAUCAGUUAAUUGGAUGUCAGCAGAUCCAAUGGACUUUUGAAGGGCGGCAAUAAUGUUUUUUUUUAGCAUUCCCUUAUAUCUUACUUAUUGAAAUAUGUUAAAAAAAGGCCUGAGCAAAAUGGAUGGAACCUUCUAAUAGUCACAUCAGUAUGUGUAUAUUAUGAUAGAAUAUAUUUUCUGGAAAUUAAAUGAAGAAACCAAUAUCUGUUCACUUCCAGUUGCUUAAGCCACCAUACUGUUCUCUAGUCUGUUUAAGUGCCUUGAUGGCACAUGGACAAUACUGUUUCAUCCUCCAACCACACGACUGCCUGAACAUAACAAGGACAUUUUGGUCAAUACUUAGUCAGGUCAGGUUUUGACUCCAGCAAUGCAAUCCUCAACAAACUCAUUUACCCACUACGACUCAUUCAGAAUUCUGCAGCAUGCAUUAUUAAUUAAAUUCUCAAAGUCUCCUGUUAUUCCUCUGCUGAUUCACUGACACCAGCUCCAUGUAUCACAAUGGAUCAACUUUAAAACCUUACUAUUAACCUUUAUUUCAUAUGAGUUAUUAAGUACUGUAACCUUCAUAAUCUCCUGCUUAUCCCACACUACGGUUUCAUCAGCAGGUCUAGUGGCAUCAGCCAUCAACCUUAAAUGUGUAACUCCCUUCCCUUCCCCUCACAGCCACAGUAUGUGGAUUGAGAAGGGCUAUAAAUAUAAGGUUAUAAAUUAAGACAGCAUCUUAAUUUAUAAAAUCGAUUUUCUUACUUAUUGCUGCCCUCCGGGAAUAUACACAACUUAUUUGUUGAUCGUAAUAAAAUUUUAUUACUUUGUUGUUGUUAUAUCUAAAGAGAGAGAGCUUGUGGUUAAUACAACCCAGAUUACAAAAAAAGUUGGCAUGGUUUGUAGAGCGUAAAUUUGCCCUGGAGGACACAACGUCCAUGAAUUCCGUCCAUGAUGUGCACACUUUUCCACUUUCUGUCAGUUCAUCUCAGAUAAGCUCGUCUCCAGAGAAGAUGGCGGCGUUUGUGGCUGUUGUUGGUCUGUCCUUCUAUUUGCACAGAAUGCAGUGUUCCUGAAAUCAUAGCAAUAUCCUUGGCACAAUCGUGUCAUUUUUUAUUGAAGUGCAGCCUGAGGGCUCGCAGAUUACAGGCAUUCAGUAGCCUUGUUUCCAUAAAUGUAUUUUGAUGUGCAUUUUGAAGAACCACAUUAGAAAAGGUUGAUGGAAACAUCAAAAUUAAUUAUUUUAUUUGUGUCAUCUUGUUGCUCUGAUUUUCUGACAGGACAAUUGUUGUCGCAUAUCUUGUAAACUAAUCUGUCUCUGUGAGUGCUAGACAAAUAAAUUUCACUGACUUAAUUACUUACUAAUAUUCAAAUAAUGGUAGUGGAUGGAAACAAGCAUUCAUUCACAUUUUCCUUUGCUGAAUUACUUGAAAGUAGAUUAAAAUUUAUUGUGGUAUUUAGUGAUGGAAAUGUGGCUAUUGUUGGUCCCUUUUGCAGAGAUUUCUCCAGAUUAUCUGAUUUUAAUGAUGUUAUUGAAUAGGUGCAACUGUACAUUGAAAAAUGUCGUACUUGGACUAUUUUCCCUUACAGUGUUCUGAAUCUCCCCCCAUCCUGUGAUUGACCCUUUCAAGGACGCCCCUUUCAUACCCAGUCAUGUUCACAAUGAACCUGCUUACCUGUGGAAUGUUCCAAACAGGAAUGCUGCCAGCCAUUCUCCAGCCACGUCCAGCCCUGUUUCGUCUCCACUCCUGUUUAUGGAUUCUUACCAACACCAACCCUGCACCAUUCUGGAUCACUUUCACCACUGAAGUCAUCCUGUCAUGUCAUGUUUGAGAGUUGUGUGGAAACUGUCGCCACUAAUUUCAACAAACUACUUUAACUGAUCUUGGUCUUUGGCUUGUGUUUGCAUGUUGGGUCCAUUACUGUUCAUCUAAACAUUUUGGUGUCUCUAGAGAUAAUAAGGAGAAACAGAAAGUGGCAUCAUUGUUACAAUGACAGACGUAAAUGCAGCUAUUGUAUUUAUUUCUUUUUUCCCGUAGAACUUGAAGUGCCCACUGUCAUGUCCUCACACCCCCCUUGACAAACUCUCAGGUGGAGUCCCGGGAGGACUGGUGAGAAGAAACACAGCAGAGGUGUCUUGAGCACAGAGUAAUACAUAAAAUCACAGAAUGUGAUUAAAUAUGAAGACCAGCAGCUUCUUCUUUGACACUGAGCAGACUGUUGGCGCAACUCCCAGACCACUGAGGUACUUUCACUUUAGAGACCUUAGAAACAGGUCCCAACUCUUGUUUAGUAUUGUGUUAUACUACAGUGUAUGAUCUCUGAUAGAGCUCAGUUUCGGAGCUGGUGAGUGGACCGCUUUAAGUCAAGAAUGUCAGCCUUCCCUUUAGUUUAGCCUGUGAUUAAUGGCACGGUUUUGUUUUUGUGAACAGCUAACAGGACCAACAAGUUGAAAAAUACUGGAUGAAAUUAUGUCGAGUGUGUAUACUGUAAGCCGUCUGGUAGUGAUGUAAUGCAUUUUCGAGAGUCUAAUGUACUUUUUAUUGAUGCUGCGAGUGGGUGUGUAGUACUUUGUUUCUGAGGCUCCCGGUGGUGUCAAAGGCAUAAAUCAAUAAAACAU
Larimichthys crocea (large yellow croaker) is the source of this 4069-nucleotide long non-coding RNA. RefSeq lists it as uncharacterized. The record is from RefSeq and is a predicted model, not a curated record. NCBI's taxonomy places the organism in Eukaryota, Metazoa, Chordata, Actinopteri, Sciaenidae. The transcript has 4 exons.